Molecule: unclassified non-coding RNA, 339 nt
Filed under: soil metagenome
Description: partial contains 5.8S ribosomal RNA, internal transcribed spacer 2, and large subunit ribosomal RNA
Rfam family: 5.8S ribosomal RNA (bases 1-120)
Source: RNAcentral
GAUGAAGAACGCAGCGAAAUGCGAUACGUAGUGUGAAUUGCAGAAUUCAGUGAAUCAUCGAAUCUUUGAACGCACAUUGCACCUCUCGGUAUUCCGGGAGGUAUGCCUGUUCGAGCGUCAUUUGUACCCUCAAGCUCUGCUUGGUGUUGGGUGUUUGUUCCGCCUCUGCGUGUGAACUCGCCUCAAAACAAUUGGCAGCCGGCGUACUUGUUUCGGAGCGCAGCACAUUUUGCGAUCCAGAUCAACGUACAGCGGCAUCCAAGAAGCCUUAUUUAACGCUCUUGACCUCGGAUCAGGUAGGGAUACCCGCUGAACUUAAGCAUAUCAAUAAGCGGAGGA